Molecule: ribosomal RNA, 664 nt
Filed under: Staphylococcus aureus
Lineage: Bacteria; Bacillati; Bacillota; Bacilli; Caryophanales; Staphylococcaceae
Description: partial 23S ribosomal RNA
Rfam family: Bacterial large subunit ribosomal RNA
Source: RNAcentral
GAAGCGUGCGAUUGGAUUGCACGUCUAAGCAGUAAGGCUGAGUAUUAGGCAAAUCCGGUACUCGUUAAGGCUGAGCUGUGAUGGGGAGAAGACAUUGUGUCUUCGAGUCGUUGAUUUCACACUGCCGAGAAAAGCCUCUAGAUAGAAAAUAGGUGCCCGUACCGCAAACCGACACAGGUAGUCAAGAUGAGAAUUCUAAGGUGAGCGAGCGAACUCUCGUUAAGGAACUCGGCAAAAUGACCCCGUAACUUCGGGAGAAGGGGUGCUCUUUAGGGUUAACGCCCAGAAGAGCCGCAGUGAAUAGGCCCAAGCGACUGUUUAUCAAAAACACAGGUCUCUGCUAAACCGUAAGGUGAUGUAUAGGGGCUGACGCCUGCCCGGUGCUGGAAGGUUAAGAGGAGUGGUUAGCUUCUGCGAAGCUACGAAUCGAAGCCCCAGUAAACGGCGGCCGUAACUAUAACGGUCCUAAGGUAGCGAAAUUCCUUGUCGGGUAAGUUCCGACCCGCACGAAAGGCGUAACGAUUUGGGCACUGUCUCAACGAGAGACUCGGUGAAAUCAUAGUACCUGUGAAGAUGCAGGUUACCCGCGACAGGACGGAAAGACCCCGUGGAGCUUUACUGUAGCCUGAUAUUGAAAUUCGGCACAGCUUGUACAGGAUAGGUA